Molecule: non-coding RNA, 22 nt
Filed under: Rattus norvegicus (Norway rat)
Lineage: Eukaryota; Metazoa; Chordata; Mammalia; Rodentia; Muridae
Source: RNAcentral
UAGCCUAUGGGAUUCUUCUUCU